CCUACGGGUGGCAGCAGUGGGGAAUAUUGGGCAAUGGGCGCAAGCCUGACCCAGCAACGCCGCGUGAAGGAAGAAGGCCCUCGGGUUGUAAACCUCUUUUUUUAGGGACGAAGCAAGUGACGGUACCUGAUGAAUAAGCCACGGCUAACUACGUGCCAGCAGCCGCGGUAAUACGUAGGUGGCAAGCGUUAUCCGGAUUUACUGGGUGUAAAGGGCGUGUAGGCGGGAAAGCAAGUCAGAUGUGAAAACCAUGGGCUCAACCUGUGGCCUGCAUUUGAAACUGUUUUUCUUGAGUACUGGAGAGGCAGACGGAAUUCGUGGUGUAGCGGUGAAAUGCGUAGAUAUUAGGAGGAACACCGGUGGCGAAGGCAGUCUGCUGGACAGCAACUGACGCUGAGGCGCGAAAGCGUGGGGAGCAAACAGGAUUAGAUACCCGUGUAGUC
This 443-nucleotide ribosomal RNA is filed under the name uncultured bacterium. RNAcentral's name for it is "partial 16S ribosomal RNA". It matches the Rfam family "Bacterial small subunit ribosomal RNA", at positions 338 to 795 of the family's 1533-position model. The record is from RNAcentral.